AGGCAAACUUAUCGAAAGGUAAGGACGCAAAGCCAUGGGUCUACAGACUACCGUCUAUGACUGCCAGGUUGCCAC
RNAcentral lists this non-coding RNA (75 nucleotides) under uncultured Anaerosporomusa sp. RNAcentral describes it as "Cyclic di-GMP-I riboswitch". It matches the Rfam family "c-di-GMP-I riboswitch aptamer", at positions 10 to 86 of the family's 87-position model. Rfam says of the family: GEMM was predicted in a large-scale screen for bacterial structured RNA regulatory elements. Genes associated with GEMM are involved in a diverse array of functions, including chemotaxis regulation, signal transduction, secretion and chitin. The record is from RNAcentral. Lineage: Bacteria; Bacillati; Bacillota; Negativicutes; Acetonemataceae.